GUAUGAAAGCAUACGACAGUAAUGCAAAUCCAAGUGUAGAGGGAGGAAUAACGAAAGAAAGGGACGGAAUGGUUGAGAAAAAGAGAGGGGAAAGCACUGGGUAGUGGCCGCGAGCAAUGGUGCGAGAGAGAAGGAGGAAGGGAGGGAGAAGCCACAGUGAAGAGCAUUCGAGUCAGCUUGACGGUGCCGGUCGCCUCAGUAUGCUGCGCAGCGCGCAGGCUCGCGUACGCGUAUUGUUUCUCUCUGUUCUCGUCUCCUUUGCUCUCCUCUCUUUCCUAAUUUUCCCUCUUUCUCUCUCCUGCUGUCCCGUACGUAUGCAGCGCGGCUAGAAUACGCAAGUACAAACAUCUCGCAGGUCUCUUUCGCGUUUAUGUCGUUCCGUUAAGUUUUUUGUUUCUCUGUUGGUCACGGACACCAGGAUAAUUCGACGAAAUUCAGGUUCCUUCGUAUAAAUAUUGUGAAUAACGUUUGCUGUGCACAUGCGACCGUAUGCCGGUGAUUCGAAUUUAAUCGAGAACCUGUUAUUAACGCGUGUGCGUGUACACGUCUAUAUGCGAGUCCGUAUACAUCGUGACACAGUGACACGGUACGUAAAGUUAGCGAUAAAGAAGAGUUGUGGCUCAUAGUGAAAAGCGUCAUAGAAAAGCGGGAAAUUUCGAUAUAUUCAACGAUAUAUUUUGAAACUUUGACACGUCAAAAACAGACGCAGUGGAUGAUUCUAAAGUAGAGAUUCAAGAGACUCAAUGUGGAUACUAAGAUAUAAUAAAGCGCAGUGAGUGGCAGAACGGUUACGAAACGCGUAGAAGGAGACGUGGCACGAAAUGAAGCGAACGUAUCCUCGUACGAUCGAUAACUAUAGCAUCUCAGUAAAUAUCAAGCGGUUCGUAUUUCCAGCGCGCACGAACCUAACCUAGCGAAUUAUCUGUUUUCUCGUACCUUGUAUAUUUGUAAACACAGUUGAAGAAGUCUUGUGAUCUCGAGUAAUUCGAAGAAGGGAUGUUGACGUGAAAGUGACGUUUCACACUCGAAGCGUAGAAGUAUCCAGAAUAUGAGAAUGAAAAUCUUGCAGUUAUUGAAGAAGUAAUAUUCCUUGUACGCCAUCUUGAUAUGUCGACGAAUAGCGAUGACAGGUGGUGAAUGUGAUUGUUAAUCGACCGCGCGAGAUUCGAUCAGUCGUGAUCGAAUGUUCGAUAUAUCUUGGUGCGAGCGCGUGUGUAACGGUCAAAAGAACGUCCCGGAAGAUUCUUUCCAGUGUAACGUACGAGGAGACAGAAAAUUACGAAAGGCGAAUAAAGCAACGAAGAAGAGAGAAUCCGAGGCGCUUUUAUUUUUAGCCAACGCCGGUUCGCGCAUCGCAAAAACCGGUUUCGAGUCUCGGCUUGGGUUGAGCCAUGAGGUAAGGUGCGUAUAUAGAGAAGGGUUUUCGUUGAAAAGGGAGGAAGUGAGAGGGAAAGACACGCGAUGUAAAGGUGUAUGGUUUUCUCUCUGUUGGUUAAGAAAGAAAGAAAGAGUGACACAGAACGUGGAAUUCGCCUAAGCCGAUACACACCUCCCCCUACUUCUCUUCUUUCUUCUCCCACCUCGAACUAUCGAUUGCGUGCAUGCACGCGCCUAUCCAUACUCGAUGUGUUACGUGACAUCGUACCGGGAGUGUAUAAUAUUCGAUUAUUAAGUGCAUCGUCGAUGAGAUGUUCAUCGCCGAAUAAUUAACCAAUCAGUCUGGCAAUAUAAAUACACAGAUAUCGAUAGAUCGUUACAGUUCUCGAAUCAAUUUUGAUGAAAAAGUGUGAGAAAUUGGUGCGAAAAGAGAAAGUGAAUCGAAGGAACAUGACAAUCGAAUAAAAUCGAAUCGAAAAAGUAAAAGGAAGAGACGGGAAGUGUUUAUAUUGGAUUGUUGCAUGAUACACGAGAUUGACGAAGACACGAAAACGGCAUGAAGAAUGGCAACCGAUUCGAGCAACCGUCAAGGUGUAAGGGCGGUCGCCACGACGACAACCGAUCCACAUCGAAGCGAAAAACGCGCCGUCGCGGCACGAGGCGCCGCCGGUGCUCUAGCCCUCAGUAUUCUGGCCGUGGUCCUCCAAUCGGCAGCUACCGCGACCCCCACUUGGGGAUAUUUCACCAAUCCUGACGCUGGUUCAGCAGCCGAGAAGGGGUACUUUGGUCCAUGGAGGCAGUGCAAACUGCUACUAUACGGUAGAGAAAGAUGCGGCCAAGGGGUUUCCAGGUUUCAACCAGUGUUGGCUGUGUGGGUGGCAGGAUUAGCUGCUGCGACCGCCUCCGCCCUUUUGGCCAUCCUGGUGGGUCUUGCCGUGCUACAACUUGCGAUGGCCUCCUCGGCAAAGCGAGUUAUUAUCUCGUACAGCACCGCUUUGAUAGGGAAAGUGGCACUCGCCACUUUGGCCACUUCGUUGGCAAUCGUAGCAGCGAGUCUGUUCGCUUUACAGACCGAUGACAGAGCUAGCAGCUUCAUUGUCACGAGGGGAGAAGCGUUUUAUAUGCAGUUGGCUGCCAUCGCUUUGAACUUUGGUGUGCUGAUCACUGCAGUGUACGAGGGUAUUUAUGCUCGACGAGGUGGUGAUCCAACGAAGAUUAGGGUUGUCGGUGAUCCACGUGCGGGAACCAUAAAUAAUCCUGGGUAUCGGGAACAUCAACCCACGAAUGGUGGCACCAUCUCGAUGACAGACGCCAGUGGCAAGCCUUACGUCGGCGGAGCCGGAAACGGCUCGAUGGCGUCUGUGGCGACUUCCGGAAGCGUCACGAGCACAGCAUCGCCACUUCGUAGCUCCCUCAAGAAGCCAAAACCGCUCGGUAUUCACAAUCCCGGUUUCUCGGCCCACAGCCCCACUCUCUCGAGAAAUGGUUCGCAAAAGAAAGUGCGAAUUCAGACCCACUCAACCGAGGUUUAACGCGUAUCAGCGAGGAUGGAAGAGCCUCGAUGAUUUUUUCUUUUUUUUUUUUUUUUUUUUUUUUUUCACGCGAGUCGACUCGACGUCGACUUGGUCGGAAGAAGCAUUCCUAAGAAGCGAAGCGCGUGAAGUGUGCACGAACUGUGGACUGAUUAUUCCACGAACUUUUCUACUAGCUUUCAGAUUGAAAGAUGUGAUUAAAAAGAUGUCCACGCCAGGAGAAGAGGAAUACCGAUUUAGAGCUCGAUCGAUCGAGAUGUUCGGUCAAUCGUGAGGUGUUCGGUGAGAUUACAAUUUAAGUUCCCAGCGGUUCCAGCCGUGAACAAGAAGAAAUUAACCCUUUGCGGUCUGGUUGCUUCACGCAAUAAGCUGUCCGGCUUGUUUCGAGAACCGUAUCGAUUACGAGGUAACUUUUCUUUAAAUCAAUAUUAUAAUUAAAUAUUAUCAGGUAAACGUAUUACUCUGUUCCUUUAUCUUUUUAUAUUUUUGAGAUUUCUUUUUUUAAACAUUUUUUUAAAUGUUCUGUUUCUACACGAGAGAAAUGCUCAUCCGUUACAAAUUUAUUUUGUUACUAUUAUACAUAUAUCUAUGAAUCAAAUAUCUUAAUCGAACAGCAAGAUUCUCAAUUUCUAUUCGAUUUUCUAAUAAUCUUCUACGAGCUUUCGCUCGUCCAAUAAAUAUAUCGUCGGAUCACUAUGCCAUCCCACGCAACGCGUCGUACGUACACGUUUAGACCGCAAAUGGUUAAUAGAAUUUGAUCGGACGAUAAACCGUAUCGAUUGUUCUGGCAACGUGUAAUUGUUUAAUCAAGAUUGGCGUGUUGCUAAAUGACGAUCACGACGACGAUGCGAGAGUUAAGUGGCAUCCACCUAUAAUCGAUAUCCAAGAUAACGAUUAUUUGGUAAACGAAUUUCCCGCCACAUGGUGAAACGUUUAGGGAAUGGAACGGUUAAUUAAAUCCAGUUGCGUUAAAUCGUGUAUGAUUUAAGAAGGUGGGAGGGAAAGGAAAAAACGAAAAGAGAAGAUAGCAACAAUCCUGUUAUUAUCGUCGUUCGAUUAUUGAUUUUACGUCACGGUUGGAACGGCGUGUUACUAUGGGUAUUAUGGAUGGUCGAAAGGAGAGAAAUUAAAGCCGAUUGUUAACUAUCGUUUUUUUUUUUUUCGCGUGAGAUCGAAACUCGAUGCCGUAAAUCUGGCAUCGUUUGAUUGAAAAUAUUAUAUAGAAUUAAAUUCGCGAACUGAUGUGACCGAUAUUAUUAUUGGAAUGCACGAAUCAAUCGAUACCUGACUCCUGAUCGUGUAAUUUCGCUAAGUAUUCUUUAUCUUUGAUCAUUAAAAGGUGUAAAUUAUUUAAUUGGAGUUAUUGCAAAGUAUUUAUAUAUAUAUAUAUAUAUAAUAUAUAGCAGAUAUAUGGAAUACUUAAUGAAAUUAAUUUUUAUCUCAUCAAAUUCGAGGUGCGAUUUCCUAAAAUCCUUAUAUUUAAAAUAUAUUUAUUUUUUUAUUUAUUUUUGGAUCCAAGAGAGAUACUUAUUGAAUUUAUUUCGUCGUGACAAUAAAAUAAAAUUCAAGAUGGCCACCUCGAAUUUAGAUGUCACGCACACAUUCCUCUACAUUGUUGCAUUGUCAAGAAAUUAACAAACAGAUUUCUCUAUUUGCUAAAUUCAAAAGAAAAGAAAAAAGAAGAAGAAGAAGAAGAAGAAAAAGGAAAGAGGAAAUCUGCAUUCCAAUAAUAACAUCGUUCCACGUCAACGAAGUCGCAGGAUACGUGAUACAUUUUUCUAGUUUCCCUUCCCUUCUCUUUCAUUUCCUCCAUAUUUUUUUUUUCUUUUUUUCUCCUUCGCUCUAGUUUUUUCAAUCUAACCUUUUCUCUAUAUCCCUGUACACUCCUUGUUCGUCGCAUAGUAGGUUUAACUCGACGUUUCCUCGUUCGAGGAACGAAGUAUAAAUAAAAUAUUUACUGCGUCGCAUCCGUCCAGCCCUGCAUAGGCAGCUAACCGUCAAACGGUGAGAGUUAUAUAUAUAAAUAUAAAUAUAUAAAUAUAUUUAUAUUUUUUAGCGAUUGUUUUAAUAUAUAUAUAUAUAUAUAUAAAUAUGAGAAAGAAGUUUAUAUAAAUUUAUAAAUAUGUAUAUGUUUUUAUUAUUUGCGCGCGCGCGACACUCGAGAUGAUAUAAUUGAGAUUUUGUUUCGCUCGUGUCAUUUGUCUCGAGAGAGAGAGUGAAAAAAAAAAAAAGAGAGAAAGAGAGAACAAGCGUUUUACUCGUUAGAAAGUAUAUAAUUAUUAAUAUUAUUUUUUAUUACUGUUGCUGUUGGUGUCGUGACACUAUUCCUUUCUUCAAGGAAGUUUUUUUUUUUUCUCUUUUUAUGCUUCUUUUUUUCGUCGAUAGUUUCGAAGUUAUUUAUAAUUUUUAUUCGAGGAUUUAUAUCGAAUACUGAUGAUUUUCUUCACUUCGUCCCUUUCUUUUAAUUACCUUCUUCUUCUUUUUUUAUUUUUCUUUUUUUUUUUUUAUUAGGACUUUGUGCGCAUAGUUGUUGAUACUUUAUUUAUUUAAUUCGAAUUGAAGAUCGAAAUCAAUUUUUUUUUUCAAUCAUUUCCUGAUUUUUGGUC
This is an RNA transcript of Apis laboriosa (Himalayan honeybee), 5515 nucleotides long. RefSeq lists it as uncharacterized. The record is from RefSeq and is a predicted model, not a curated record. Lineage: Eukaryota; Metazoa; Arthropoda; Insecta; Hymenoptera; Apidae. The transcript is spliced from 7 exons.